RNAcentral lists this ribosomal RNA (440 nucleotides) under uncultured eukaryote. Its description in RNAcentral is "bacterial SSU rRNA". It matches the Rfam family "Eukaryotic small subunit ribosomal RNA", at positions 592 to 1017 of the family's 1831-position model. The record is from RNAcentral.
CAAUAGCGUAUAUUAAAGUUGUUGCGGUUAAAAGCUCGUAGUUGGAUUUCUGCUGAGGACGACCGGUCCGCCCUCCGGGUGAGCAUCUGGUUCGGCCUUGGCAUCUUCUUGGUGAACGUAUCUGCACUUGACUGUGUGGUGCGGUACCCAGGACUUUUACUUUGAGGAAAUUAGAGUGUUUCAAGCAGGCAUACGCCUUGAAUACAUUAGCAUGGAAUAAUAAGAUAGGACCUCGGUUCUAUUUUGUUUGGUUUCUUAGAGCUGAGGUAAUAGAUUAAUUAAGGGAGUAGUUGGGGGUCGAUUCGUAUUUAACUUGUCAGAGGUGGAAAUUACUUUGGUAUUUGUUUAAAGAACGGACUACUGCGAAAGACAUUUGUCCAAGGAUGUUUUCUAUUGAUCAAGAACGAAAGUUAAGGGGAGUCGAAGACGAUUAGAUACCA